AGCGAACGCUGGCGGCAGGCCUAACACAUGCAAGUCGAACGAACUCUUCGGAGUUAGUGGCGGACGGGUGAGUAACACGUGGGAACGUGCCUUUUGGUUCGGAAUAACUCAGGGAAACUUGUGCUAAUACCGAAUGUGCCCUUCGGAGGAAAGAUUUAUCGCCAUUAGAGCGGCCCGCGUCUGAUUAGCUAGUUGGUGAGGUAACGGCUCACCAAGGCGACGAUCAGUAGCUGGUCUGAGAGGAUGACCAGCCACACUGGGACUGAGACACGGCCCAGACUCCUACGGGAGGCAGCAGUGGGGAAUCUUGCACAAUGGGCGAAAGCCUGACGCAGCCAUGCCGCGUGAAUGAUGAAGGUCGUAGGAUUGUAAAAUUCUUUCACCGGGGACGAUAAUGACGGUACCCGGAGAAGAAGCCCCGGCUAACUUCGUG
This 433-nucleotide ribosomal RNA is filed under the name uncultured bacterium. Its description in RNAcentral is "partial 16S ribosomal RNA". It matches the Rfam family "Bacterial small subunit ribosomal RNA", at positions 29 to 507 of the family's 1533-position model. The record is from RNAcentral.